This 378-nucleotide ribosomal RNA is filed under the name uncultured Synechococcus sp. Its description in RNAcentral is "bacterial SSU rRNA". It matches the Rfam family "Bacterial small subunit ribosomal RNA", at positions 401 to 796 of the family's 1533-position model. The record is from RNAcentral. Lineage: Bacteria; Bacillati; Cyanobacteriota; Cyanophyceae; Synechococcales; Synechococcaceae.
GUCGCACUGGCGACGGUCGGCGGCCCCCGCCUGGGGAAUUUUCGAAAGAUCUGACGGUACUUGAUGAAUAAGCCACGGCUAAUUCCGUGCCAGCAGCCGCGGUAAUACGGGAGUGGCAAGCGUUAUCCGGAAUUAUUGGGCGUAAAGCGUCCGCAGGCGGCCCUUCAAGUCUGCUGUUAAAAAGUGGAGCUUAACUCCAUCAUGGCAGUGGAAACUGUUGGGCUUGAGUGUGGUAGGGGCAGAGGGAAUUCCCGGUGUAGCGGUGAAAUGCGUAGAUAUCGGGAAGAACACCAGUGGCGAAGGCGCUCUGCUGGGCCAUCACUGACGCUCAUGGACGAAAGCCAGGGGAGCGAAUGGGAUUAGAUACCCCGGUAGUCA